GACGAACGCUGGCGGCGUGCCUAAUACAUGCAAGUAGAACGCUGAAGGAGGAGCUUGCUUCUCUGGAUGAGUUGCGAACGGGUGAGUAACGCGUAGGUAACCUGCCUGGUAGCGGGGGAUAACUAUUGGAAACGAUAGCUAAUACCGCAUAAUAUUGACUAUUGCAUGAUAGUCAGUUGAAAGGUGCAACUGCACCACUACCAGAUGGACCUGCGUUGUAUUAGCUAGUUGGUGGGGUAACGGCUCACCAAGGCGACGAUACAUAGCCGACCUGAGAGGGUGAUCGGCCACACUGGGAAUGAGACACGGCCCAGACUCCUACGGGAGGCAGCAGUAGGGAAUCUUCGGCAAUGGACGGAAGUCUGACCGAGCAACGCCGCGUGAGUGAAGAAGGUUUUCGGAUCGUAAAGCUCUGUUGUAAGAGAAGAACGAGUGUGAGAGUGGAAAGCUCACACUGUGACGGUAUCUUACCAGAAAGGGACGGCUAACUACGUG
Molecule: ribosomal RNA, 495 nt
Filed under: uncultured bacterium
Lineage: Bacteria
Description: partial 16S ribosomal RNA
Rfam family: Bacterial small subunit ribosomal RNA
Source: RNAcentral